Molecule: ribosomal RNA, 460 nt
Filed under: uncultured bacterium
Lineage: Bacteria
Description: partial 16S ribosomal RNA
Rfam family: Bacterial small subunit ribosomal RNA
Source: RNAcentral
CCUACUGUCGGCAGCAGUGAGGAAUAUUGGUCAAUGGACGAGAGUCUGAACCAGCCAAGUAGCGUGAAGGAUGACUGCCCUAUGGGUUGUACACUUCUUUUAUAAAGGGAUAAACCGAGGCACGUGUACCUUUUUGCAUGUACUUUAUGCAUAAGGAUCGGCUAACUCCGUGCCAUCAGCCGCGGUAAUACGGAGGGUCCUAGCGUUAUCCGGCUUUAUUGUGUUUAAAGGGAGCGUAGAUGGGUGGUGAAGUCAGUUGUGAAAGUUUGCGGCUCAACCGUAAAAUUGCAAUUGAUACUGGCAGUCUAGAGAACAGUUGAGGUAGGCGGAAUUCGUGGUGUAGCGGUGAAAUGCUUAGAUAUCACGAAGAACCCCGAUUGCGAAGGCAGCUUACUAAGCUGUGACUGACAUUGAGGCUCGAAAGUGUGGGUAUCAAACAGGAUUAGAUACCCGUGUAGUC